RNAcentral lists this ribosomal RNA (494 nucleotides) under uncultured bacterium. RNAcentral describes it as "partial 16S ribosomal RNA". It matches the Rfam family "Bacterial small subunit ribosomal RNA", at positions 28 to 507 of the family's 1533-position model. The record is from RNAcentral.
GACGGACGCUGGCGGCGUGCUUAACACAUGCAAGUCGAACGGUGAAGCGCCUUCCUUUUUGGUGGGUGUGGAUGAGUGGCGAACGGGUGAGUAACACGUGAGUAACCUGCCCCCUUCUUCUGGAUAACCGCAUGAAAGUGUGGCUAAUACGGGAUAUUCUGGGUCUGUCGCAUGAUGGGUCUGGGAAAGAUAUUGUUUCGGUGGGGGAUGGGCUCGCGGCCUAUCAGCUUGUUGGUGGGGUGAUGGCCUACCAAGGCGGUGACGGGUAGCCGGCCUGAGAGGGUGGACGGUCACACUGGGACUGAGACACGGCCCAGACUCCUACGGGAGGCAGCAGUGGGGAAUAUUGCACAAUGGGCGCAAGCCUGAUGCAGCGACGCCGCGUGAGGGAUGGAGGCCUUCGGGUUGUGAACCUCUUUCGCCAGUGAAGCAGGCCUGCCUCGUUUGUGGGUGGGUUGAUGGUAGCUGGAUAAGAAGCGCCGGCUAACUACGUG